CCCAGACGAAGAGAGGAGCAUUGUCAUUAUUGGGAAAGAAGACUCUUCAGGCUGUGUUUCAACCUCCAACCAGCCUCCCCCUAAAAACUAGACAGCUGUACACCACCCAAGGAGCUAGGGGGCCCGGGAGACUAAGAAGACAAGGUACCUCAGUCACUGACCUCGAAGUAGCUGUCCCCAAAUUCUGACACCACGUGCUCCGACUUGGGCUUAUUCUGACAGUAUACCACAUACAUAUGCAGCCGGCGCUCCUACAGGGGUGAAGUUUAAGAAAGAGCAAGUUCCCUCAGGACAUACCUGGGAAGAGAGCAGCAGUGCACAUCCUUGGUUUAGCCACUUCCUCCCUGCUGGACUAGCAGCCCCUUCAUCACCACAGCCAACCUCAGAGGAAAUUCCAAGUCUCAAAUCUAAAAUGGGAAGGACAGUCCUCUGGAAGUUGUGGGGUGGAGGAAAAGUGGACCUCCAACAAUGUGGUCAGCAGAGUCAGUUCCGGCAGCUCCUCUCCUGUGGCCAGAGGUGGUUCCAGCAUCCAGUUCUAGGGGCCAAAGGUCAAGUGUCAGAGGUCAGCGACAGUAGCUAUGUCUCUCCAAUGACCAGUGGCCCCCAAACUGCCCUCUCUCCCAGUGUCCUUCAUGGA
This is a long non-coding RNA of Equus quagga, 637 nucleotides long. RefSeq lists it as uncharacterized. NCBI's taxonomy places the organism in Eukaryota, Metazoa, Chordata, Mammalia, Perissodactyla, Equidae. The transcript is spliced from 4 exons. The record is from RefSeq and is a predicted model, not a curated record.